This 301-nucleotide ribosomal RNA is filed under the name uncultured bacterium. RNAcentral describes it as "bacterial SSU rRNA". It matches the Rfam family "Bacterial small subunit ribosomal RNA", at positions 505 to 805 of the family's 1533-position model. The record is from RNAcentral.
GUGCCAGCAGCCGCGGUAAUACGUAGGGUUCGAGCGUUAAUCGGAAUUAAGGGGCGUAAAGCGUGCGCAGGCGGUUUGUUAAGAUAGGCGUGAAAUCCCCGUGUUCACCCGUGGAACUGCGUUUAGGUCUGGCAGGCUAGAGUAUGGCAGAGGGGGGUGGAAUUCCACGUGUAGCAGUGAAAUGCGUAGAGAUGUGGAGGAACACCGAUGGCGAAGGCAGCCCCCUGGGCCAAUACUGACGCUCAUGCACGAAAGCGUGGGUAGCAAACAGGAUUAGAUACCCUGGUAGUCCACGCCGUAA